AAUGAACGUUGGCGGCAUGGAUUAGGCAUGCAAGUCGGGGGAAUCCCAGCAAUGGGGGAACCGGCGUAAGGGGCAGUAAGGCAUGGGUACCUACCUUGGGGUUCGGGAUAGCCAUCAGAGAUGGUGGGUAAUACCGGAUGACGUCGUGAGACCAAAGAUUUAUCGCCCUUAGAGGGGCCCAUGUGAUAUUAACUAGUUGGUGGGGUAACGGCCCACCAAGGCGAAGAUGUCUAGCGGGUGUGAGAGCACGACCCGCGCCACUCGCACUGAGACACUGGCGAGACACCUACGGGUGGCUGCAGUCGAGGAUCUUCGGCAAUGGGCGCAAGCUUGACCGGGCGAUGCCGCGUGAGCGAUGAAGGCCUUGGGGUUGUAAAGCUCUUUAGUGGGGGAGAAAAGCCGCAAGGUGUGAUCUAUCCCAAAAAUAAGCACGGGCUAAGUUCGUGCCAGCAGCCGCCGUAA
This 462-nucleotide ribosomal RNA is filed under the name uncultured bacterium. RNAcentral describes it as "partial 16S ribosomal RNA". It matches the Rfam family "Bacterial small subunit ribosomal RNA", at positions 29 to 523 of the family's 1533-position model. The record is from RNAcentral.